CAAGAGCGUAUGUAAAAGUUGUUGCAGUUAAAAAGCUCGUAGUUGAACCUUGGGUUUGGUUGGCCGGUCCGAUUUUUUGCGAGUACUGGAUUCAACCGAGCCUUUCCUUCUGGCUAACCAGUCGUUUCGGCGGCUGGCGAACCAGGAUUUUUACUUUGAGAAAAUUAGAGUGUUCAAAGCAGGCAUUAGCUUGAAUAUAUUAGCAUGGAAUAAUAGAAUAGGACGUUAUGGUUCUAUUUUGUUGGUUUCUAGGACCAUCGUAAUGAUUAAUAGGGACGGUCGGGGGCAUCAGUAUUCAGUUGUCAGAGGUGAAAUUCUUGGAUUUACUGAAGACUAACUACUGCGAAAGCAUUUGCCAAGGACGUUUUCAUUAA
RNAcentral lists this ribosomal RNA (374 nucleotides) under uncultured eukaryote. RNAcentral's name for it is "partial 18S ribosomal RNA". It matches the Rfam family "Eukaryotic small subunit ribosomal RNA", at positions 592 to 976 of the family's 1831-position model. The record is from RNAcentral.